GGUGGUGUAGCUCAAUGGUAGAGCACUUGCCUGGCAUGUGCAAGGCCCUGGUUUCAAUCUCCUGAACUGCCC
Molecule: transfer RNA, 72 nt
Filed under: Ictidomys tridecemlineatus (thirteen-lined ground squirrel)
Lineage: Eukaryota; Metazoa; Chordata; Mammalia; Rodentia; Sciuridae
Description: Spermophilus tridecemlineatus (thirteen-lined ground squirrel) tRNA
Rfam family: tRNA
About the family: Transfer RNA (tRNA) molecules are approximately 80 nucleotides in length. Their secondary structure includes four short double-helical elements and three loops (D, anti-codon, and T loops). Further hydrogen bonds mediate the characteristic L-shaped molecular structure. tRNAs have two regions of fundamental functional importance: the anti-codon, which is responsible for specific mRNA codon recognition, and the 3' end, to which the tRNAs corresponding amino acid is attached (by aminoacyl-tRNA synthetases). tRNAs cope with the degeneracy of the genetic code in two manners: having more than one tRNA (with a specific anti-codon) for a particular amino acid; and 'wobble' base-pairing, i.e. permitting non-standard base-pairing at the 3rd anti-codon position.
Source: Rfam by way of RNAcentral